GAUGAACGCUGGCGGCGUGCCUAAUACAUGCAAGUCGAGCGAACAGAUGAGGAGCUUGCUCCUCUGACGUUAGCGGCGGACGGGUGAGUAACACGUGGAUAACCUACCUAUAAGACUGGGAUAACUUCGGGAAACCGGAGCUAAUACCGGAGAAUAUAUUGAACCGCAUGGUUCAAUAGUGAAAGACGGUUUUGCUGUCACUUAUAGAUGGAUCCGCGCCGCAUGAGCUAGUUGGUAAGGUAACGGCUUACCAAGGCAACGAUGCGUAGCCGACCUGAGAGGGUGUUCGGCCACACUUGCACUGUGACACGGUCCAGACUCCUACGGGAGGCAGCAGUAGUGAAUCUUCCGCCAUGGGCGAAAGCCUUACGGCGCACCGCCGCGUGAGUGAUGAAGGUCUUCGGAUCGUAAAUCUCUGUUAUUAGGGAAGAACACAUGUGUAAGUUACUAUGCACGUCUUGACGGUACCUGAUCAGAAAGCCACGGCUAACUACGUG
RNAcentral lists this ribosomal RNA (497 nucleotides) under uncultured bacterium. RNAcentral describes it as "partial 16S ribosomal RNA". It matches the Rfam family "Bacterial small subunit ribosomal RNA", at positions 28 to 507 of the family's 1533-position model. The record is from RNAcentral.